This 1521-nucleotide ribosomal RNA is filed under the name Escherichia coli EPEC 32/73. RNAcentral's name for it is "bacterial SSU rRNA". It matches the Rfam family "Bacterial small subunit ribosomal RNA". Lineage: Bacteria; Pseudomonadati; Pseudomonadota; Gammaproteobacteria; Enterobacterales; Enterobacteriaceae. The record is from RNAcentral.
AGAGUUUGAUCAUGGCUCAGAUUGAACGCUGGCGGCAGGCCUAACACAUGCAAGUCGAACGGUAACAGGAAGAAGCUUGCUUCUUUGCUGACGAGUGGCGGACGGGUGAGUAAUGUCUGGGAAACUGCCUGAUGGAGGGGGAUAACUACUGGAAACGGUAGCUAAUACCGCAUAACGUCGCAAGACCAAAGAGGGGGACCUUCGGGCCUCUUGCCAUCGGAUGUGCCCAGAUGGGAUUAGCUUGUUGGUGGGGUAACGGCUCACCAAGGCGACGAUCCCUAGCUGGUCUGAGAGGAUGACCAGCCACACUGGAACUGAGACACGGUCCAGACUCCUACGGGAGGCAGCAGUGGGGAAUAUUGCACAAUGGGCGCAAGCCUGAUGCAGCCAUGCCGCGUGUAUGAAGAAGGCCUUCGGGUUGUAAAGUACUUUCAGCGGGGAGGAAGGGAGUAAAGUUAAUACCUUUGCUCAUUGACGUUACCCGCAGAAGAAGCACCGGCUAACUCCGUGCCAGCAGCCGCGGUAAUACGGAGGGUGCAAGCGUUAAUCGGAAUUACUGGGCGUAAAGCGCACGCAGGCGGUUUGUUAAGUCAGAUGUGAAAUCCCGGGCUCAACCUGGGAACUGCAUCUGAUACUGGCAAGCUUGAGUCUCGUAGAGGGGGGUAGAAUUCCAGGUGUAGCGGUGAAAUGCGUAGAGAUCUGGAGGAAUACCGGUGGCGAAGGCGGCCCCCUGGACGAAGACUGACGCUCAGGUGCGAAAGCGUGGGGAGCAAACAGGAUUAGAUACCCUGGUAGUCCACGCCGUAAACGAUGUCGACUUGGAGGUUGUGCCCUUGAGGCGUGGCAUCCGGAGCUAACGCGUUAAGUCGACCGCCUGGGGAGUACGGCCGCAAGGUUAAAACUCAAAUGAAUUGACGGGGGCCCGCACAAGCGGUGGAGCAUGUGGUUUAAUUCGAUGCAACGCGAAGAACCUUACCUGGUCUUGACAUCCACAGAACUUUCCAGAGAUGGAUUGGUGCCUUCGGGAACUGUGAGACAGGUGCUGCAUGGCUGUCGUCAGCUCGUGUUGUGAAAUGUUGGGUUAAGUCCCGCAACGAGCGCAACCCUUAUCCUUUGUUGCCAGCGGUCCGGCCGGGAACUCAAAGGAGACUGCCAGUGAUAAACUGGAGGAAGGUGGGGAUGACGUCAAGUCAUCAUGGCCCUUACGACCAGGGCUACACACGUGCUACAAUGGCGCAUACAAAGAGAAGCGACCUCGCGAGAGCAAGCGGACCUCAUAAAGUGCGUCGUAGUCCGGAUUGGAGUCUGCAACUCGACUCCAUGAAGUCGGAAUCGCUAGUAAUCGUGGAUCAGAAUGCCACGGUGAAUACGUUCCCGGGCCUUGUACACACCGCCCGUCACACCAUGGGAGUGGGUUGCAAAAGAAGUAGGUAGCUUAACCUUCGGGAGGGCGCUUACCACUUUGUGAUUCAUGACUGGGGUGAAGUCGUAACAAGGUAACCGUAGGGGAACCUGCGGUUG